GAUGAACGCUAGCUACAGGCUUAACACAUGCAAGUCGAGGGACCGGCGCACGGGUGAGUAACACGUAUCCAACCUGCCCUUUACUCCGGGAUAGACUUUCGAAAGAAAGAUUAAUACCCGAUGUAAAGGAUGGGGCUGCGUUCCAUUAGGUUGUUGGUGCGGUAACGGCUCACCAAGCCUUCGAUGGAUAGGGGUUCUGAGAGGAAGGUCCCCCACAGUGGAACUGAGACACGGUCCAAACUCCUACGGGAGGCAGCAGUGAGGAAUAUUGGUCAAUGGGCGUUAGCCUGAACCAGCCAAGUAGCGUGAAGGAUGAAGGCUUAUGGGUCGUAAACUUCUUUUAUAUAAGAAUAUGUAUUAUAUGAAGAAGGAUCGGCUAACUCCGUGCCAGCAGCCGCGGUAUAC
RNAcentral lists this ribosomal RNA (405 nucleotides) under uncultured bacterium. RNAcentral's name for it is "partial 16S ribosomal RNA". It matches the Rfam family "Bacterial small subunit ribosomal RNA", at positions 28 to 526 of the family's 1533-position model. The record is from RNAcentral.